AUUCACUGUAGAGCGAAAAGCAGCACAAAGCAGAGUGGUGCCUUACUGUGAGUUGAAGAAGUGCGUGUGAGAGGAUUGUGAACGCAGCUCCCAGGACCCACAAUGCCCCUUCGAUGUGCCGAAGAGAAAUCUAAUGAUGAAAUUGCUUUGGAGAGCUAAAAUGAAGAUUGGAUAUAUGUGGGUUCCGGUUCCGGUUUAAGAUGGAGGCAGUGCUAAGAACUUUCUUUUGAAGGUGAAGACCUGAUGAUCUAAAUAUACAGUACUGGUAAAAAAAAAAUAUAUAGGUCGCUAUCAAUAUGCCAUCAAAUGUACAGCGUAAGCGAGCAGCUCAGAAAGCCAAAUAUGCUGAGAAUAAAAGGAAGACUGCUGUAAGUGACAUCUCCACACCACACCAUCCUGCACAUCAUACUUAUUACCAUGAACAUCACACAGAAAUUUUGGAUAGUUGCUCAAAAAGAAGACCUAUGAGGAGAAACCAAAGGGCAACAAAGAACACCAACAUAUUAGCCAAGCGGUCAAUUGAAGCCAUUGUGGGUCUGGGUGGAGAAGAGGACCUUGAUGGAGCAGAUCAGGACAUGAUACAAGGCGCAUGGGUGGCGUCUGAAACAGAUGAAUGAUGUCUGAAAACCACGGACGUCUUGGCCAAUAUGAUGCCACCAACACGACACUCUAUUAAGACGUCCUGUAAUGCCGUGUCCCCAAAUAAUUUGGAACCCAAUAAGGGCACAGAUGCCAGAUUACCCCUAGAGGGGGCAUCUACAUCCCAAUGAUUAAGCCAAAGGUGUCUGCGAGAAACCACUGCAUCCGCUAUAGCUCUACACGAAAAUUGGGAAGCGUCCAUAGUUGCAUCCGCUAUAAAGCUCAGAUCGAGAGGAAAAAAAGGGGGGGAGUGAAACUGACAAGAGAAUACUCUGACAGAAGCUGGGAAGAUACAGAGGAGGUGAGGUGAAACUGACAGAAAGUGAGAAGCAGAUCAGAAGACAAACAGCAACUGACGUUUCCUUCAGCCCACUUCUGAUUGGCUGCUGCUGCUGCUGCUAGAAGGAAGGCUCAGGCUGUGUCCCCCCCCCAGAAAAACUGAAACUGACAAGAGAAUACUCUGACAGAAGUGGGGAAGAUACAGAGGACAGGAGGUGAAACUGACAGAAAGAAAAAACUGCCAGAAGUGGAUGGGAAGACAAACAGAGGGACGCUCCAUGGUCCCCGUCGUAUAAAACCUCUUGCCAACCGCAGAAGGCUAGAUGUUUAAAGCGUAAACAAGCAGGAAAUGAGUCAGAAAAAAUGCAUCAUAGAACUUAUGAAAAAGGUGAACCAGUUUUUCACAGCAGAUAUUUCAAAAGCACAUCUUCUGCAGAUGAAACUGUAAUUAGAUAUUUGAAUGCCCAAGCAGCAAUUGAUGCCUUAUGAAGUUCACAGGUUUUCUUUAAAGCUGUAUCAGAGGAGGAAAAGACUGAGGAAUCCAGAGAGGAUGAAUAUGCUAAAACUUCUCAGAGUACCACAGCCCAGGAUGAUGAACUCAAAGAAUUACAAUUGGGAGAAUCUUCAGCUUCUUCUGCCAGUACCUCCAGUGCCCACAGGCUAUAUAUUUUAAAGCAGCAUCAGCGUGAUGCCAAACUGGAAAAACUGAAGGAACGACUUAGAAAGCGGUGAGGGCUUCCAGAAGAAUUGCGUAGCAGAGGGAAUCAUCUGGAAUAUGGUGAUGACCCGAUACCUGAGACUCCAAAAGUCAGAAAAGUAGCAACUGCACCUCCUGCACCCUCGUAUAAAGGUACAUAGUUUCUGAAUUGAAUCUGUGCGAGGAGAGAGAAUUUAUUUGGCUUGUGAAGCAAAGAUUGUGGUUUCUAUUGUAACACCCUACCUAAGAAAGAAACAUAUUAAAAACAAAGGAUUAUGACUUCCCACCUUCCAAACUUUACUUGCAAUUUCCAUCCAUGAAGGUGAUUUUUUUUCGGAUGCAUUGUCCAUGAGUCAAAUUCACAAGCCUUGGAUUGUGCCAGGCUCUCUGUAGAGGUUAUUUGCUUUUAGUUAUUUUAGAUUAUUUGACAUUGUUUUAACUAUCAUAGCUGCAAACUAUUUUGAUAGCACAGUAUUUUAUCUGAGGGACUUUUCUGAUAUGACUUACGCAAAAUUACUGAUUGCACAUGCACAGCAACCACACAAUAGUGUUUGCAUUUUCGUAGUUCUGUAGGCAUCAGUCAAUGAUGUAUAUAAGUUAUUCUGAAGUUUAUGCUGAACUUCCCCCCCUUGCACUUCUUUUUUGCUGUAAUGUCUCUUCCUUAUCUGAUACCUCAUAAUUCUACACAGAAAGUUCUCAUUUCACCUGUUUUUAUGUAGCAUAAAUUUGGAAUUGGGGUUCUCUCAUGGAUGACAGAGGUCUCCAAGUAGGUAGUGCAGCUCCCUCUACAGCUCAGAGACAAGAAAUGCUUCAGCAAAUACUUUUGCUCCUCCCCUCUUGUUAAGGCUCAGUUUUAGUUUCCUGUCUCAGCUCGGAGCACAUCCUAUUGAGUUGUCUUCCUCUGAAGGAUAAUAGUUUCUUCUCCCUUGCUGUGUUUUAUCUCUUUAUUUGUUUCUUACGCUUCUUUCCCGUUUGUUGUUCUUACUUAAAAAAGAUAAAAUCUGUCACAUUCUUCAUCUCCUUCCCUCUGUCAGUUUUCUUCGCCUUCUGUCAGCUGUCUUUCUUGUUCUUCUCCCUGCAAGACAUGUACAAAACGAAAGGUCAGGCAGCAAGAAGAAAUAUUCUAAAAGCCUGGGGAGCAAUCGGCAGUGGCCGCAGUCAGUUCCCGCCUGCUCUGACUUCCCGCCAAUUUUCAGCAAGGGCUGCUUAUUGGCGGUGAUGACCCGCUUGAAGGGAUGCCUUCACGGCUUAGCUUCGCAGCCCCCAUAAGCCUACACACAAUUACCAAGGCCUCAGCAUCCAGCUGCAGGCAGUUUUCAACAAAAAGGCAUUUUAAGAGUUCUGGGCAGCACUCGGCGGUAGCCAGUACCCAGCUGCAGGCAGCCUUCAAAGAAAAGGCAUUUUAAGAAAUUUGGGCAGUAGUCGGUGGUAGCCGCAGUCAGUACCCAGCUGCGGGCAGCCUUCAAAGAAAAGGCAUUUUAAGAGCUUUGGGCAGCACUCAGUGGUAGCUGCAGGCAGCACCCAGCCACUACAGAUUCAUGCCAUUAUGCGGCAGGCACCAAAACUGGAUGCUGAUGAUCCCGCUGAGGGGAUUUCAUCAAGGGGCUCUGCGCUGUCCCCAGUAGGUAAGUCCAUGGAGGUGUCAUUAAGAUCUCUGGGGUUCAGGGAAGCAACAGUGCCUGCCACUGCAGAAAGGAGUGGAGCAGCGGCACUGUGUGUUUGGAGCAGCCUGCCAUUUCUGAGGCAGCACCUGCUCAUUUAUGUGCUCAUUUAUGUGCUCAUUUAUGAGCACAACAGAGGCGCCCGCCAUUUGGAGCACAGUGGAGCUGCUACACCUGACGAAUUGCAUUUUUCAGACCUCCCAUAUUUAAUGCCAAGUGUGUAUUGGGAGCAAGAACCCCAUCCUCUGUUGAGGAGGUGGUAGUAAUGGGGUAUGGCCAAAAGCCACACUUCGGUUGUAGAACAACAGCCUGUUCGCAGAACAGCAAAGUGCAACGGGUUAACACCCCCCCCAUCCAGCAACAGCUCUUGCUGCCCAACCUUUUUUCACCUGAGGUGUGAAAUUUGCUCCUGGCGGCUUUAGAGCUCAAACUGCUCUCUACUGUGUGCAAUGAUUUUGGCCUUGCUAUUUUUGCCCUUGGCUGCGUUUAGAGGUCUAACUGGUCCCCUCUGCUGUAUGUAGUUAUUUGGCUUUGCUCAUCCACCGCACUCCUCUCCCAGUGUGUGUGUUGAUUAAUCAGGAAUUUAUCCAUAUAAUAUCUGGUACCGCUUCCUUUCACUGUAUGAGUGUAACCAUGGCUGAGCCAUCCUGGGCUGUUUUUACAGAUAUCUUUAUUGAGGCACAGCGCAGUGAUACACAGCUGCAGCCAUCUCAGUGGCCAGCUGUUCUCAUACAUUUCAUGGCCCGUAUCAGCAGGAAUUCCACCAGGAAAAAUGUUGACGUGCAAUUUGGGCUUCGCCUUGUGUGUCCAGUACGUGGUCACCUCAGGCCCUCAGGUAAGCAAGGCAGCCAAUACCUUCCAGGUAUUCCUCCUCAAAAAUUGCACCAGAGCAGCAACGUUUAGUGUGGACGUUGCUUGUGGUGAGAGAAAUGGGCAGCUCUUUAUCACUCUCUACUGCAUUUUGGGCCCUAGCCUGUCCAGUGACUGUGAAAGGGCUUAGCUUUCCACUCAGAACCCUGAGGAUAUGGCCUAGCUUUGCUAUGCAUAAUCCUUGGGCAGAGAUAUGGUGUAGGCCUCUCCUGAAGAGGUUUCCCGCCAUUUUUAUGGUCCUAAUCUGUCCAGUGACUAGAAAGGGCCUAACUUUAUUGUUAGGAGCUCUUGGACAGAUAUGACAUAGCCCUUAGCUGAGGAUUUUCCUGCCAUUUUUAUGGUACCUGAGGAGGUUCCCACCAUUUUAUGGUCCUACUCUGCCCAGUGAUGGCAGAAAGGGCCUAGCUUUCCAUUCAGAGCCCUUGGACAGGAAUAUGGCAUAGUCCUUUGGUUUUCCCGCCUUUUUUAUGGUACCUCUGUUGGCACUUGAUCCUGGUGUCUCUAGUGACUGUGGAAAGGGCCUAGCUUUCCAUUCAGAACUGUUGGGCAGAGAUAUGUCAUAGUCGCCAACUGAAAAGCUUUCCCGCCCUUCUUUACGAGAGGUGCUGGAACAGCAGGUUCAAUAUUUCUAAGAGACCUGAUUCCCUUUUUCCCUAGGCCUGAACACCAGCAGGCUGUUCCCAGGGCAACAGUAGAAUAAUGUCAUGACUCCUCUAGGGGGGCUCAUUGUACUGAAGGCAUAUGGAUUACCUCAUGAGUCUCAGCUCAAAGCUCCAGUUCUCUCAAGGCCUGAAUGGCAGCAGGCCAUCUCUAAAGGCAACAGCAACCUGGUGGCUCCUCUAGGGGACCUCGGUGUAAGGAGGGCAUAUGUUAUGUUGUUAUGUUUCCUUUUAUUGUUCAUAGCCAUUGGCCGUCACAAAGAGAUAUUAAUACAAGAAUUUCAAGAGAGGACAGUUGAUACAGAGAAUAUAUAUAAGCAUUUCGAGGUUAAAAAUUACAAAAAUUCAACGGAAAUAGAAGAUUAUAUAAAAUUAUUUCAAUUAAAAUUAUCGGACCAAACAAAAAGUGCUAAAAUCAGGAUAAAAUUGGGGCUUCUACUAAAUGUUUUUGAUAUCUAGUUCUUAUUUUCCGUGCCGCUAGGGCGAAUUUUGCCACUUGGGUGGUUAUAAAUAUGUCAUUGCCCACAAGUAAAUUGCAUAUUUGUUCCAAGGGAGGUCUAUUUUACAGGAGGUGGGGAAUAGCCGAGAAAAGUUUCUGCCUUGGAGAUUUAUAUAAGGGACAGCCUAGUAAAUAAUGAACCAUAUCUUCAACCGCAUCAUUUUGGCAGAUACAGAGCCUUUGAUGGACUGGAACAUUUGCAUACCUCCCCUCCCUGAAAGCCAAGGGCAUGGACUGCAAACGUAAGGCGGUAAAGGAUUUUCUCAAAGAUGGAACUGUAAGGAAAGAAAAGUAUUUCUCCAGGCCGAAGGUAGUUUUAUACAGGGGGAACCAGGUAGAGAAAGAUGAUUGGGUAGCUGCGUGGAAGUCCCAUCUUUUAGAGUAGAAAAAGAUUCUUUCUUUGAGGAGCUGUUUCGCAUUAGGAGAGGGGUGAGAAGGUAGAAUUUCUGUGUUAAUCCCAUAAGCGGCCAGAAUAGGUAUAACUAAAUUUAUCCAGCAACCAAGUGAUGGGGUCUGCAAUUAUUCUAAAAGGCAUUUCUUUGGGAGACAGGAGGCACUCAUACACACCAGCCUCAGCCAGUAGGUGGCAAGUGCAGCGUGAACAGAGGAUUGUAUAGAGUAAAGCCCUGUUUCUGUUCUCAAAAGGUAUGCAGGUGUAGCAUGCGGGACAACAAGAAGAGAUCUCAAAAAAAUAUUCUGUGUUAUCUCCAGAGUGGAGAUAUUUGUGUACCCCCAAAUUUCAGCACCAUAGAGGAGUUGUGGAACUACCUUUCGCCGAAACACCUCAACAGCAGGCGUAACCAGACCUCCCCCUUUGAACUUUGAAAAACGCAACAGCGAUUGAACGGAAUAGGAAGCUUUCAAUUUGGCUGUAGCAAGAUGAAGUUUCCAUGCAAGUUGGGCAUUAAAUCCCAAUCCCAAGU
Long non-coding RNA from Rhineura floridana, 6227 nucleotides. RefSeq lists it as uncharacterized. The record is from RefSeq and is a predicted model, not a curated record. Lineage: Eukaryota; Metazoa; Chordata; Lepidosauria; Squamata; Rhineuridae. The transcript is spliced from 9 exons.